UUGGGUAGAACAUGGGUAGAUAGUUGGUGUGUAAUAAACAGAUGAGAGGCCUCGAUGUUGUUGUUGUUGUUGAUCUAGUUAUUCAGCGGAGUAUGGAUAACGACCACGGACUCUUUCUAGACAGUCCAGUGGAACGCUAGCAGGUUCAUAACCUGUAGGUGUUGUGAACGAUGUGUUCACCGGUGUACUCUAUCCCCCUCAUGGUUGCCUUUAGGAUAUCUAUUGUUGAGGAAACCCCUUCGCAGUGAUGUCCGUCCCGAUGAAAAUCCUAGAUUAGGUCCCUUGAGAUAGUUGUUUUAGGGACGUAAAGUGAGGAUAACGGGAAUGGGUAAUCGGGAUAGUGAUUGGUUGGUGAAAUUAAAUAUAACUUAUUUAUUGUGGGUUGAAAACCCUAUAUGCUCACCAGGCUCCCAAGCCUGACCCACUCAGUUUUAUUUGUAUUACAGGAAGUGGCACAAGGGCGUAAGAUGGAUGGAUCAUCUUGUUGUUUUGUUUACAAGUCUGUAUAUGUAUAUAUUUGUUGAAUGACUUGUAAUGUUUAUCGUUUAUGCUUUAUGGUCUGUAUCGGAACAUGACAUCCCGAGUUUUGAUUAUAUAAUGAAAUGCAUCUCUUGAUGAAAUGCUUUGAUAAAUAUUAUUUUAUCAUGUUUUGUUUUGGGAACAAAUUCCGCAACUCUUUCAAAUCAAAAGGAUUUACUCUGAAAAUAUUUAAAAGCAUAAAUGAAAAUCGGUCUUUUCUGGCCGAGAUUUUGGGGAUGUCACAGUUGGUAUCAGAGCAUUAGUUUAAGCGAACUAGGAAUUUGUAGGAUUUCUAGACUUAAACUUAGAAUGCUAAAUGGAAUGAUGAGAUGUGUGUCUGUUGGAUUUUAGACACGAGCACUAGUUUAUUUUAGGAAAGUUGCCUAAAAUGUUUUAUGUGCUAAAUGUUAUAUGUUGCCAUAUAUGAUAUUAUUUGUUCGGAUCUACGGUCUGUUGCCGACCGGAUCUGGAAACCUUAUGUGUGUAGGAUUCUAAGCGUAUGCCUACGUUAUUAGAACUAGCAUGUAAACGUUUCGGAGUGAUAAGGAUGAUUUGAAUAUCUAUCGUGAAUGAGGAUCUAAUUUCACCUUAUUCGGUGUGUAGAUCAAAAAUGGUGAGAACAAGGAGUGGCGUUGGAAACGCGGAUGAAAACAGGAAUCAACCGCCAGUGAUUGAGCAAAUACCUGUUGUAGCAGCAGCACCAGAACCAAUAACAAUGGCUGCGGUGCAAGCCAUGAUUCGGGCUAUGCUAGCCGAACAAAGGGAGGAGAUGCGACAAAUGUUGCAUAAUAAUAGGGAUGAACCUAUCAUACCUAUUGAGGAACCGGAAUUGAUUCCCGAGCAAUCGGAGGAAGGGAACAAUAGUCGCAUGGUGAGUCAAGUUGGGACUCAAGAGGAACGAAGGAACGAUCCGGAAAGGAGAAACAACAAGGAUGGGCGUAUGUACAAGAAUUUCUUGGGCGCCAAACCGCCAAGUCUUUCUGGGAGCCCAAAGCCUGUUGAGAUAAUGGAUUGGAUCUCCGAAAUGGAGAUGGUAUUUGAAAGUUGCGACUGUAGCAACAAACAGAAGACCGUCUUUGCGGUUAGACAACUGAAGACUGGAGUCUUGAGUUGGUGGAAGUUGUUGGCAGAUACUAUGCCACGAGGAGAAGCCCUGAAAAUGUCAUGGGAGGAGUUCUUGGAACAGCUAAGGGUGCAGUAUUGUUCAGAGAUAGAUCUGAUUGAUCUGAACAAUGAGUUCCAAAACUUGAAGAAAGGGAAGAUGAGCAUAGAUGACUAUGCUACUGCAUUUACUGAGAAGAUGAAGUUGUUUCCGUACCUAGUGCCGACGGAACUCUCCAAGAUUGAGAGGUUUGCUAACGGACUGCCUGCUGACUUUGGUCCGACAGUCAAAAUGGCAACCACUCUGAAAACGGCUGUUCGUGCAGCUAAGAAUGUGGAGGCCCAGCAGAAGGAAAAGGGUCUGGAAAGAAUAGAUGUUGGAGAAAAGAGGAAGUUCGAUGGAACUUCAGGGUCCAACAAGAAAAACAAGUUCUCGAAGUCUGGUUCGAGGGGAGGUGGAGGUGAAGCGAAAUGGUGCGACAAAUGUAAGAAGAAGCAUCAUGGAAGAUGUGAGGUGGCGAACACAUGCUACAAGUGUGGAAAGCCAGGGCACUAUGCCAAUGAGUGUACCCUCACAAAGAAAGUUUGCUAUGGUUGUGGUGAGGAGGGUCAUAUGUCGAGGGACUGCCCGAAGAAGAAGGAGGCAGCUAGACCCAACAUUCCGCCAAAGCCAAAGGCGAGAGCAUUCCAGAUGACACUGGAAGCUGCUAAAGAUGAAGCUGAUGUCGCUUCAGGUACCUUUCUCGUUAACGAAUUGCCUGCCCAAAUUUUAUUUGAUUCUGGAGCCAACUACUCCUUUAUAUCGCAUGAAUUUGGUAGAAAGCUAGCUUUGCCUGUUGUUAGACUAGAUAAUGCUUUAUUAGUCGAAGUUGCUAGUGGCAAGUUUGUACCUGUUAGCUAUCGCAUGAAAAACAUCUUAAUUGAUCUGAAUGGGAAUAAGUUCCACGAGGAAUUAUUGCCUAUCGAACUUAAUGGUUUCGACAUCGUAUUGGGAAUGGAUUGGCUUAGCGCCAACGACGCCGAAAUUUUAUGCAAGAAGAAAAUAGUCAAAGUAAACCCGCCUGGGAAAGAUUCGUUUAUGGUGUAUGGAGAUAAACGCAGAGUGAAUUCUGGAAUCAUUUCAUUGAUGAAAGCCAGAAAAUGUUUGACCAAGGGGUGUACAUCGUAUUUAGCAUUCGUGAUUGAUGCUAAGAAGGAAAAGAAGGUGAUGCAGAAUAUUCCAGUGGUGUGUGAUUAUCCGGAAGUAUUUCCCGAAGAUCUUCCUGGAUUACCGCCUGAUCGACAAGUGGAAUUCCGUAUUGACUUGUUGCCAGGAACCACGCCAAUUGCAAAAGCACCUUAUCGAUUAGCACCGACGGAGAUGAAGGAGCUAAUGAUGCAACUUCAGGAGUUAUUGGACAAAGGUUUCAUUAGACCUAGUUCAUCGCCCUGGGGAGCUCCGGUGUUAUUUGUAAAGAAGAAAGAUGGAAGUAUGAGAAUGUGCAUCGAUUACAGAGAGCUGAACAAGGCAACAAUAAAGAAUAGAUAUCCGUUGCCGAGGAUUGAUGACCUGUUUGAUCAAUUGCAAGGUUCGAGCUAUUUCUCGAAGAUCGAUCUUAGGUCAGGAUAUCAUCAGCUAAAAGUAAGAGAGCAAGAUAUCGAGAAGACUGCAUUCAGAACUAGAUAUGGACACUACGAGUUCUUGGUUAUGUCGUUUGGACUAACCAAUGCUCCAGCAGCGUUCAUGGAUUUGAUGAAUAGGGUUUGUAACCCGUUCCUUGAUAAAUCCGUGAUAGUGUUCAUAGACGACAUUCUGAUUUACUCGAAAAGCCAGGAGGAGCAUGGCAGACACUUGCGAGAAGUGUUAGAAGUCUUGAAGAAGGAGAAGCUGUAUGCUAAGUUCUCCAAAUGUGAUUUUUGGAUUCGUGAAGUCCAAUUCUUGGGUCACGUGGUCAACCAAGAAGGGAUAAUGGUUGAUCCAGCGAAGAUCGAAGCUGUGACGAAGUGGGAACAACCGAAAAGUCCCACGGAGAUUCGAAGCUUUUUAGGAUUAGCCGGAUAUUACCGAAGGUUUAUCCAAGGCUUUUCUUCGAUCGCUAGUCCAUUGUCAGCUUUGACCCACAAAGGAGCUACUUAUGCUUGGGGUGAGAAGCAUAAGGAAGCAUUUGAGAAGCUAAAGAAGAAGCUAUGCGAGGCACCGAUACUUUCUCUACCCGAUGGAGUUGAAGACUUCGCUGUCUAUAGCGAUGCGUCUGGUGUUGGAUUGGGUUGUGUUUUGACCCAAAGAGAAAAGGUGAUAGCAUAUGCGUCUCGACAGCUGAAAGAGCAUGAAAAGAAUUACCCGACUCAUGAUUUGGAGUUGGCAGCGGUAGUUUUCGCUCUGAAAAUAUGGAGGCAUUACCUCUAUGGCACGAAGUGCAAACUUUUCACUGAUCAUAAGAGUCUCCAAUACCUCUUUAAUCAGAAAGAAUUGAAUAUGAGGCAACGACGCUGGCUAGAAUUACUUAAAGACUAUGACUGCGAGAUACUUUACCACCCCGGUAAAGCUAAUGUUGUUGCUGAUGCUCUCAGUCGGAAAGUCAAUCCCGAAAGGAAAAGGCCAAGAGCGUUGAGAAUUGAAGUUGUCUCAACUAUUUUGGAAAGUAUAAAGAAAGCUCAGAGCGAAGCUUCUGAGAAGAAUGACAGAAAGGAGGAACGUUUGGGCAAAACGUUGGUGUUCGGUGUAAACAGUCAUGGACUGAAGGUGUUCCAAGAUCGGAUUUGGAUACCUAAGACAGGAGGAGUCAGAGAUCUUCUGAUGGAAGAAGCUCACAAGACCAUGUACUCGAUUCAUCCGGGUAGCACUAAAAUGUAUAGGGACCUGAAACCCUACUACUGGUGGCCGACGAUGAAGCUUGAUGUUGCAAAGUAUGUGGCCGAGUGUGUGACUUGUGCGAGAGUCAAGACACAACAUCAGAAACCGUACGGGAGUUUAGAACCUUUGCCUGUGCCUAUGGGUAAGUGGGAAGACAUUGCUAUGGAUUUUGUCACUAAACUGCCCAGAACAAAGAAUGGUCACGACAUGAUUUGGGUGGUCGUUGAUCGAUUCACUAAGAGUGCGCAUUUCAUAGCGGCCAGGGAGAAAUGGUCUAUGGAGAAGCUUGCGAAUUCUUACGUGAAGGAAAUUGUGAGGCUUCACGGUGUUCCGUUAACGAUUGUGUCGGAUCGUGAUAGCCGUUUCACAUCGAGGUUUUGGAAAAGUCUACAAGAGGAAUUGGGUACCAAGUUGUGUUUAAGUACAGCUUACCAUCCGCAGACUGAUGGUCAGAGCGAACGAACGAUACAAACACUUGAAGAUAUGCUGAGAGCAUGUACUCUGGAAUUCCUAGGUAAUUGGGAUGAACAUUUACCGUUGGUAGAAUUUUCCUAUAAUAAUAGUUUCCACUCGAGCAUUAAGAUGGCACCUUACCAAGCUUUGUAUGGACAGAAGUGUCGUACGCCGUCUUGUUGGCUUGAGGCUGGGGAAAAGCAGUUUAUGGGACCGGAGUUGGUUCAUCAAACUGCUGAAAAGUUGAAAAUAAUUAGGGAAAGAAUGUUAGCAGCUCAAGAUCGUCAAAAGAGCUAUGCUGACAAGAAGCGAAGACCGAUGACUUUUGAGGUUGGAGAUUCGGUUUUGCUUAAAGUCUCGCCGUGGAAGGGACUUAUAAGAUUUGGUAAAAGGGGAAAGUUGAGUCCAAGGUUUAUUGGACCGUUUAAAGUUCUUCAGAGGAUUGGGAACCAAGCUUACAAGCUCGAAUUACCCGAAGAACUGAAUGGAAUUCACAACACUUUUCAUGUGUGUUAUUUGAGGAAGUUCACGGGAGAAGUUCCCGACAUAAUUCCAAUUUCUGAAUUGAGAAUUGAUGAGAACAAAAGGUUGAUUGAAGAACCAGAGGCAAUUGUUGACCGAAAGACUAAGAAAUUGCGACGCAAGAUGGUUGGGUUAGUGCUUGUCCGAUGGAAACACACGAAUGGGCCGAAUCUCACCUGGGAGACGGAGAGUGACAUGAUGGGUCGCUAUCCGCAUUUGUUUGUUGAUGUGUGAUUCCGGGGACGGAAUCAUUCUAAGGUGGAGAGAAUUGUAACGCCUGUGUUUCCGGGCUUGCCAUUUUUAGCAAUAUAAUAGUCUAGGUUAACCUUUGUAACCCGUUUUGAAAUAAUAAGAAUGUAUUAUUUGAGUAUUAUGUGUUUUGUGCUUAAUUGCUUAAUUAUGUGGUCUGAUUAAUUAAGAAUAAAAAUAAGCGUCAAAAUUUAAGUGUAAAAUAAACUUAAUAUCUUUGGUUAAUGUUGUAGUAGUCGAAACGAGGUUUCCGAAUAUAUAUAGAACGCCCAAAUCUGACUUCGUAUGAGGAAGUUAUGAUUUAUCGAAGUUCCGGCUUAGCGGUAUACAGCCUGUUAUACUCGAAUUGAGAUCGAGCGGUUGUUAGCCGAAGCAAUCUAAAUGAGAAUCGAAGAUCUCAUUGUUGGUAUCGAAGCGAUAAAAAGUUAGGCGAGAACGGACGUCAAACGAAGAAGUUAUGAAUUUAUAACGAAAGUUUCUGUCGCGGCCUAUUAAAAAUAAUUAAUAAAAAUAAAGUCAAAAUUAGCCGACGGAGUCUAAACGAAAGUCGUAGAGCAUGGUCUCACCUUUCCGUGGAUAUAAAGAACGUCGAAAACGGAGUUCGUAUGAAGAAGUUAUGAAUUUCCGAAGUUUAUUAAUCAUUUUGUAUUUUUAUUUAAUUCAAAAUCGGAGGCAUUAUCCGAAGCCGUGUCACCGGUGUAAUCCGGAGUACGCCCCGCGUACGAGGUUACGCUAUCGCGUAACUCCGAUAGUGUCGACACUUCGGAUGACGCAUGCAAUGACGAUUUCGGACGCGUACGCGCUGCGUACGCCUGUACGCCCCGCGUACUCCGAGGUUCCAGCCUCUAUAUAAAGGAUCCGAAGGCAGCCUCAUUUGUUGUUCAAUUUCUUCUCUUCUCUCUAGUCUUUUGCAUCGUUUUUCGUGCCGAAGCUACCCCGAAGCCCCGGUAUCAUACUCUAGCCCCGAGGCAAGUCCCGAGAUCCCGAAGAUCCCGAGAAGCGCGGUUCCCGAGUCGAAGCUCUGCCCGCGAGAAGUUCGAUUUUCGAGGAGAUCUUCCAGAUCUGCUGUGGAUUACUACUUCUAUAAGCCGUAGUGCUGUCGGAUCGUCUUCUGAUCAAGUGAGUGUGUAGUUAUUUCUUCUAAUACAAUAAUACGAAGUAUUUUAUAUAAAAAUACGUGCUAUGUGUAUAUAUUUGGUUGUGUUAUGUGUGAAUGAGUAUUCACUCUCUUCUAUCUUAUAGAUCUGCUUAUUUCUUUAUGAGAUAUGUGUUAUGUGUGUGUGCCUCAUCUGUUAUGUGACAUAUGUGUUGAUUAAAGCAUGCUAUACAGGUUUUUUUUAAACUACGUAGUAUGAAAAUAUAUAUUUUUAUCUACUAAUAUGUUGGGUAGAACAUGGGUAGAUAGUUGGUGUGUAAUAAGAUGAGAGGCCUCGAUGUUGUUGUUGUUGUUGUUGAUCUAGUUAUUCAGCAGAGUGUGGAUAAAGACCAUGGACUCCUUCUAGACAGUCCAGUGGAAUGCUAGCAGAUUCAUAACCUGUAGGUGUUGUGAACGAUGUGUUCACCGGUGUACUCUAUCCCCCUCAUGGUUGCCUUUAGGAUAUCUAUUGUUAAGGAAACCCCUUCGCAGUGAUAUCCGUCCCGAUGAAAAUCCUAGAUUAGGUCCCUUGAGAUAGUAGUUGUUUUAGGGACGUAAAGUAAGGAUAACGGGAAUGGGUAAUCGGGAUAGUGAUUGGUUGGUGAAAUUAAAUAUAACUUAUUUAUUGUGGGUUGAAAACCCUAUAUGCUCACCAGGCUCCCAAGCCUGACCCACUCAGUUUUAUUUGUAUUACAGGAAGUGGCACAAGGGCGUAAGAUGGAUGGAUCAUCUUGUUGUUUUGAUUACAAGUCUGUAUAUGUAUAUAUUUGUUGAAUGACUUGUAAUGUUAUCGUUUAUGCUUUAUGGUCUGUAUCGGAACAUGACAUCCCGAGUUUUGAUUAUAUAAUGAAAAUGCAUCUCUUGAUGAAAUGCUUUGAUAAAUGUUAUUUUAUCAUGUUUUGUUUUGGGAACAAAUUCCGUAACUCUUUCAAAUCAAAAGGAUUUACUCUGAAAUUAUUUAAAAGCAUAAAUGAAAAAUCGGUCUUUUCUAGCCGAGAUUUUGGGGAUGUCACACAAGAGCAGUAAAAGUUAAAGUCAUUUUGGAAUUGG
This 7862-nucleotide long non-coding RNA is filed under the name Lactuca sativa (garden lettuce). Its description in RNAcentral is "long non-coding RNA (LSAT_LNC006136)". The record is from RNAcentral. Lineage: Eukaryota; Viridiplantae; Streptophyta; Magnoliopsida; Asterales; Asteraceae.